AGAUGAAGGAUAAUAAGAGAAAUGUUCCUGUAGGACAAAGGACCAGCCACUAAUCUCCAGAGUACUCCGUAUAUCCUGUGCAUCGCAACGGCUCAUUACAGACAACAAGGAGCAACAAAAAAGCAAAAUGAGAUUGAGAGCAGGGGGGUUCCUCCACCCCACCACCCUGCGUCUGGAGGCUCCUCCAGAGUAAGAGGCUGCUGCUCCAUCCUGCUCCUCCAAGAAAGUGGGUCAUGAGUCUG
Long non-coding RNA from Notolabrus celidotus (New Zealand spotty), 242 nucleotides. RefSeq lists it as uncharacterized. The transcript is spliced from 3 exons. Lineage: Eukaryota; Metazoa; Chordata; Actinopteri; Labriformes; Labridae. The record is from RefSeq and is a predicted model, not a curated record.